CUCAGGGGCUGUGGGGAAUAACCUCUGGAAACACAUACUCUAUUAUGCUAAUGCUGGACUACAGUCAUCCUGAAAGAAGGGAUUAAAGGCAAAUUAAAUAUUAUCUGAAGGAAACAAAACCAUUUCAACUUUUAUUUUCUACCUCAUCUACAGAAGGUCAUGGAGUCAUCUUCUGGACCCUCUGAAUCCAGUUCCCUUCAUGGAAAAGACAGACCGAUCCACUCACUUUCUAUUUGGUGAGACCUGGUACCAUGGCUCACCUAGUUGAAAGAAAAGAACAAUUCUUCCAAGGAUCGUGACCAAUCAUGCCAGCUAUAUCUCAAAAGAAAACCAGUUGUUAUAAUUGUAUCGAACUUCAAAUUAAAAGAAAGUAAA
This 375-nucleotide long non-coding RNA is filed under the name Equus asinus (donkey). RNAcentral's name for it is "lncRNA (ENSEASG00005029794.1)". The record is from RNAcentral. Lineage: Eukaryota; Metazoa; Chordata; Mammalia; Perissodactyla; Equidae.